This 253-nucleotide ribosomal RNA is filed under the name uncultured bacterium. RNAcentral's name for it is "partial 16S ribosomal RNA". It matches the Rfam family "Bacterial small subunit ribosomal RNA", at positions 524 to 776 of the family's 1533-position model. The record is from RNAcentral.
UACGAAGGGUGCAAGCGUUACUCGGAAUUACUGGGCGUAAAGCGUGCGUAGGUGGUGAGUUAAGUCUGUCGUGAAAGCCCCGGGCUCAACCUGGGAACGGCGCGCGAGACGGGGGGGCUGGAGUUCGGGAGAGGAGCGUGGAAUUCCCAGUGUAGAGGUGAAAUUCGUAGAUAUUGGGAAGAACACCGGUGGCGAAGGCGGCGCUCUGGACCGAGACUGACGCUGAGGCGCGAAAGCGUGGGGAGCAAACAGG